UACAGAGGUCCCAAGCGUUGUUCGGAUUCAUUGGGCGUAAAGGGUGCGUAGGCGGCGCGGUAAGUCGGGUGUGAAUCUCGGGGCUUAACUCCGAAACUGCAUUCGAUACUGCCGUGCUUGAGGACUGGAGAGGAGACUGGAAUUUACGGUGUAGCGGUGAAAUGCGUAGAUAUCGUAAGGAAGACCAGUGGCGAAGGCGGGUCUCUGGACAGUUCCUGACGCUGAGGCACGAAGGCCAGGGGAGCAAACGGG
Molecule: ribosomal RNA, 252 nt
Filed under: uncultured bacterium
Lineage: Bacteria
Description: partial 16S ribosomal RNA
Rfam family: Bacterial small subunit ribosomal RNA
Source: RNAcentral